This 98-nucleotide transfer RNA is filed under the name Lentinula raphanica. Its description in RNAcentral is "tRNA-Gln". It matches the Rfam family "tRNA". Rfam says of the family: Transfer RNA (tRNA) molecules are approximately 80 nucleotides in length. Their secondary structure includes four short double-helical elements and three loops (D, anti-codon, and T loops). The record is from RNAcentral. Lineage: Eukaryota; Fungi; Basidiomycota; Agaricomycetes; Agaricales; Omphalotaceae.
GGUCUAAUAGUGUAGAGGUUAGCACAUGGGAUUUUGAUCAAUGGCUGUAUAGAUGUCUAAGAUUUCCCAUAACCCAGGUUCGAGUCCUGGUUAGACCU